CUAACCUUUAGCAGGAUAAGCUAGGAUACACACAGUUCAGGUGACUGGAGUGUGUAGAGGCAGGGCCGUGUCCUUUGUGUUGUGUCUUGAGUACAGAGAGCAGUGGCACAGGAUCAUUGACAGACGUGGCCCUCGCCUUGGAAGGUUCCUGAGGCUGAUGUCAGAAUAAAGUUUCUGAUUGUUCAAAGAAGAAACUAACUAUAUAUUGACUUGUGCUUCUUGUAAAGACGUCAGAACUGGACGGCUAAGUGGCUGAUCAGGAUUGCAGACUUCCUGGAGCAUCACAAUGAAUAGAGUGGAUGAUGUA
This is a long non-coding RNA of Lingula anatina, 307 nucleotides long. The record is from RefSeq and is a predicted model, not a curated record. NCBI's taxonomy places the organism in Eukaryota, Metazoa, Brachiopoda, Lingulata, Lingulida, Lingulidae.